GAGACAGCAGUCGCCGCGGUAAUACAGAGGAUGCAAGCGUUAUCCGGAAUGAUUGGGCGUAAAGCGUCUGUAGGUGGCUUUUUAAGUCCGUUGUGAAAGCCCUGGGCUCAACCUGGGAAUUGCAGUGGAUACUGGAUCACUAGAGUGUGGUAGAGGAUAGUGGAAUUUCCGGUGUAGCAGUGAAAUGCGUAAAGAUCGGAAGGAACAUCUGUGGCGAAGGCGACUAUCUGGGCCAACACUGACACUGAGGCACGAAAGCGUGGGGAGCAAACAGGAUUAGAUACCCGCGUAGUCCCUGUCUCUUAUAC
RNAcentral lists this ribosomal RNA (308 nucleotides) under uncultured bacterium. RNAcentral describes it as "partial 16S ribosomal RNA". It matches the Rfam family "Bacterial small subunit ribosomal RNA", at positions 505 to 807 of the family's 1533-position model. The record is from RNAcentral.